UGAAAUACAUUCUGCAACUUUUAAAAAAGGAGACAAAGAAAUUUCAAGAUGAAGUUUCCCUUUAGUGGACAGAGGCUGAGGGAGCUGGGACAUACAUGUUUUUCCUUCCAGAGAUCAAGCUUUGUGGGGAGGAAAAGAUCAUGGUUUGAGCCAACUUCUCCCAAAACACAAGGUGGGACCCUCUAAGACCACCAAAAACAACAGUGUUUUUUUAAACAACAUGAUGGGCUGAAACUGGCAACCACUGUUAAUGUCCACUGGAUAGGGAGCUGCUGAAUGUUAGAGGGUUUGGACAUCUGGCUACCCAAGAAGGCAUGGACAGAGGUUAACAGCUUUCAGCCUCCAUGAUUUGAAGAACUGUUGAACAAAUGAGGAAGGGAAAACUGAAGACACAAUCCACCAGAAAUCGAAAGAGCUCUCCAACUACAAAAGCAAGCAUGAGCUCAACCUUGGAACCUUCUUUUAACUUUGGUUUCCCAGGACUGUGGGGUAAGGACGUGCUCAUCUUCUGAGGAAGCCAAGAUCAUGUUUUAAUAAUAACAACUUUGUUCUGGAUUGAAUAAUCAUUUUCAUUGCUCCCAUUUAUAAACUACUGCUAUGCACCAUAUAUACUCACAGUGUGUCUAAUUUUUCAAUAGCUCUGCAAGGUUGUUAUAUGAUCUCCAUUUAGUGAACUUUGAAAAUCAGAGAUGUGAAUUCCUUUGCCUAACACCAUAUAGCUACAUCUCCAUAGAAUCAGAUUCAAAACGUGACUGCUCCAAAAUCACAUUCACCAAGCUGCCUUCAACACACACACACACACACACACACACACACACACACACACUCAGGAAUAUUAUUCAGCCAUAAAAAGGAACGAAGUGCUGAUAUGAUACAUGCUACAAGGAUGAACCUCAGAAACAUCAUGCUAAGUGAAAAAAGCCAGACACAAAAGGUCACAUAUUGUGUGUGAUUC
This is a long non-coding RNA of Myotis brandtii (Brandt's bat), 955 nucleotides long. RefSeq lists it as uncharacterized. NCBI's taxonomy places the organism in Eukaryota, Metazoa, Chordata, Mammalia, Chiroptera, Vespertilionidae. The transcript is spliced from 3 exons. The record is from RefSeq and is a predicted model, not a curated record.